This 497-nucleotide ribosomal RNA is filed under the name uncultured bacterium. RNAcentral's name for it is "partial 16S ribosomal RNA". It matches the Rfam family "Bacterial small subunit ribosomal RNA", at positions 28 to 507 of the family's 1533-position model. The record is from RNAcentral.
GAUGAACGCUGGCGGCGUGCCUAAUACAUGCAAGUCGAGCGAACAGACGAGGAGCUUGCUCCUCUGAUGUUAGCGGCGGACGGGUGAGUAACACGUGGAUAACCUACCUAUAAGACUGGGAUAACUUCGGGAAACCGGAGCUAAUACCGGAUAAUAUAUUGAACCGCAUGGUUCAAUAGUGAAAGACGGUUUUGCUGUCACUUAUAGAUGGAUCCGCGCCGCAUUAGCUAGUUGGUAAGGUAACGGCUUGCCAAGGCAACGAUGCGUAGCCGACCUGAGAGGGUGAUCGGCCACACUGGAACUGAGACACGGUCCAGACUCCUACGGGAGGCAGCAGUAGGGAAUCUUCCGCAAUGGGCGAAAGCCUGACGGAGCAACGCCGCGUGAGUGAUGAAGGUCUUCGGAUCGUAAAACUCUGUUAUUAGGGAAGAACAAAUGUGUAAGUAACUAUGCACGUCUUGACGGUACCUAAUCAGAAAGCCACGGCUAACUACGUG